RNAcentral lists this ribosomal RNA (433 nucleotides) under uncultured bacterium. Its description in RNAcentral is "partial 16S ribosomal RNA". It matches the Rfam family "Bacterial small subunit ribosomal RNA", at positions 29 to 507 of the family's 1533-position model. The record is from RNAcentral.
AACGAACGCUGGCGGCAUGCCUAACACAUGCAAGUCGAACGAGACCUUCGGGUCUAGUGGCGCACGGGUGCGUAACGCGUGGGAACCUGCCCUUAGGUUCGGAAUAACUCAGAGAAAUUUGAGCUAAUACCGGAUGAUGUCUUCGGACCAAUGAUGUAUCGGCUCUAGAUGGGUCCGCGUUGGAUUAGCUAGUUGGUGGGGUAAAGGUCUACCGAGGCGACGAUGCAUAGCUGGUCUGAGAGGAUGAUCAGCAACCCUGGGACUGGGACACGGCCGAGACUCCUACGGGAGGAAGCAAUGGGGAAUAUGGGACGAUGGGCGAAAGCAUGAGCCAGCAAUGCCGCGUGAGUGAUGAAGGCCUUAGGGUUGUAAAGCUCUUUUACCCGAGAUGAUAAUGACAGUAUCGGGAGAAUAAGCUCCGGCUAACUCCGUG